GAUGAACGCUGGCGGCGUGCCUAAUACAUGCAAGUCGAGCGAAUGGAUUAAGAGCUUGCUCUUAUGAAGUUAGCGGCGGACGGGUGAGUAACACGUGGGUAACCUGCCCAUAAGACUGGGAUAACUCCGGGAAACCGGGGCUAAUACCGGAUAACAUUUUGAACCGCAUGGUUCGAAAUUGAAAGGCGGCUUCGGCUGUCACUUAUGGAUGGACCCGCGUCGCAUUAGCUAGUUGGUGAGGUAAAGGCUCACCAAGGCAACGAUGCGUAGCCGACCUGAGAGGGUGAUUGGCCACACUGGGACUGAGACACGGCCCAGACUCCUACGGGAGGCAGCAGUAGGGAAUCUUCCGCAAUGGACGAAAGUCUGACGGAGCAACGCCGCGUGAGUGAUGAAGGCUUUCGGGUCGUAAAACUCUGUUGUUAGGGAAGAACAAGUGCUAGUUGAAUAAGCUGGCACCUUGACGGUACCUGACCAGAAAGCCACGGCUAACUACGUGCCAGCAGCCGCAGUAA
RNAcentral lists this ribosomal RNA (515 nucleotides) under uncultured bacterium. RNAcentral describes it as "partial 16S ribosomal RNA". It matches the Rfam family "Bacterial small subunit ribosomal RNA", at positions 28 to 523 of the family's 1533-position model. The record is from RNAcentral.